RNAcentral lists this long non-coding RNA (11690 nucleotides) under Musa acuminata (dwarf banana). RNAcentral describes it as "long non-coding RNA (MACU_LNC001665)". Lineage: Eukaryota; Viridiplantae; Streptophyta; Magnoliopsida; Zingiberales; Musaceae. The record is from RNAcentral.
UUUGCGUGGACCCCAAGCAACCACCGGCCUUUAUAAAGCGGCCGAACCUCCUUUUCGUCGCCAUUCGAUCGGCGACGGGAAACCCGCCCUCGCUAGCACCCAGGAGCCGGAAAAUGCUGACGAUUAGAUCCCUUCCCACGGGAGCCGCUGGAGAAGAAAGGUAACAGUAGCCGUAUAAUUUUCUUUUUUUGCUUCAUUUGCCGAUCGAUACGCCUCUACUGGAUCCGAUCCAAAAUCUUGAUAUAUCAAGAUCUUGCAUAUUCUUUUCUCUUAUUCUUUCUCUGAUUCUGUUGAUCCUACUAUUUGUGGGUGACGUCUCGUGAAUUCUAUGUAAGGUUGAGCCAUUCCCCCUCCUUAGAAGCAAUAGAUCGAUCGACGUUUUAAACGAUUCAUUCGAUUCCAUGGAAUUUCUUUUAUCGAUCAUGGGUUUCUCUCUGGAUCUACAAAAAUGCAUUUGUUCUGUCUCCGAUGAAUCAAGGUAUUCGACUAUGUCCUCUCGGAUGUGUCUGGGUGAUGAUGAUGCGCUGCUUAACGAAGGUGUGGAAACGCCUUAUGGUUCGACCCGACUUAUGAGUUACAUAUCUUGACUAACAAUAGCUUCCUGUUCUUGUCUUAUCUGUGUUAAGGUCGGAGAAGCUGAAUUCUCCGUGGGUUCUCGUUUGUUGCCAUGUCUGUCCCUCGGAAAAUCCUGACAUUCUUCCAUUCAGUUGGGAAACCUGUUUUAUGCAUCUUCUUAUUUCUUUCUCUCUCUCUGCUCGUGCUCAUGCUUUGCAACAUUUCAUCUACGUGAGUUCAUCUGCAAAUGCAUUGUUCCUUACUCUGAUCUGAUCUUAGCUAUAUUUAUAUUUAUCUGUUAUGUUGUAAUGUUUUUCAAACACAUCUCAUGUAUGUCUUCACAAAGUAGUUCGUCACUGAGAUUAGGAUUGACCGAGUGAAGGAAGGCAUCACUUAUCUAACGUCUUGACCAACAAUGAGUGUGAUGUCUUUGUAUUUUGCCCUUUGCUAGUAGAUUUCACUAUUCCAGUACUUACAUCUAAUAAAUCCCCACAACUUCGAGAUACCUUGAUGUGUAUAGCCACCAUGGGGAUAACUAGUUUUGGUGGGAAAAUCUAGAGAAUAACCUAGACAUUAUCGUAAUUUUUUCUUAUAUUACCUGGGAUGUUCUUUUUUAUCUUUUUAACUCAUGGCAUACUGUAAUUGGUUUCAGAACCCCGAGAGAGGAAUGGGAUUGGUUAGAUGUUAUCAAGUCUAUGAAAUUUGCGGAAGUCAGAGACGAUCUAAAUCAUUGCAUUGCUUGAUAUGCUGGAAAUUAUUUGCAACCAAACAUAAAGUUUCUUGAUAAGAGAUCAUUAGUUCAUCUUUAUCAAAUUGUGAGACCUUUUUUUUUUUGUUGUUAGAGGUAUUUCACUUAUAAAAUAAUUCUAUGGAUCAGCACUACAAAGUUAAAUAAAAUGUUCUUAUUCUUGUUUGAAGCUACCAUAGCUUCCCAUAUAUUAAUACAAAAUCAGCAUUUAUAUAGCUUCUAAACGAUGAAAAAAUUUUGGUUCUACUGUAUCCAAAAGUGUGAAUAUAUGACUUGGUGCAUUCAGAUUUCUGUCGUAUUCAGCGGUAUUGCUCAUCUGUUUUGUAUGUCAGGUUCGUGUACAUAUGAAAUUUUUUAGGAUUUUAUUUGGUGUCCUCUAACCACAAAUAGAACUAUAGUUUUAGAAAGUAACUUCGAGUUGGGGAAAACCCAAAUAGAACUAUAUUUGGAUGGAUGACUUCUUAGAAUAUUUUAAUGUUAAGUUCAACUUAUUUUGACAUAAUAAAAUAGGAAAAUUCUGUUCUGAGUUUGUAUGUCUCAGUGUACAUGUUUAUUUUCCCCACUGCUGCCACAAAUGACAUCAGAAUUUCAUAUCUGGCACUGAUUUAUUCCUUUCUAAUGCUUUUCAUUCUUUCUCCUUCACUUGAACUUAAUCUCUUACAUUUCAAGACCACUUGUCCUGACCUUGAAGAUGUAGCUGAAUAUCAAAAAGCUACAUGUUUUAGAGACAUAUUUUGUUUGGCUAUGUGAGUUCAAGAAUACAAUUGGUGGAAACAUUGCUACCAUUGAUGAGUAACAUCAUACCACAAUUUAUCCAUAACAAUUCUAUAUAUUUCUUAUCUUAGUUCACUUGCAUGUGUUGUUUAAAUUUUUAUUUGUUGCACCAUUACCUACCUUUGUUAGAUGCUUUUCUAAGAGAACCUGGAGCAUGAAACGGUGCAUUUAUAGGAUGUAAAUGAUUGACAACAUAGGUAACUAGAGCAGAACUGGAAUCAGACUGUCCGGCUAGUGGUAUGAUUUAGAUCGAUUGAACAGUCUGAUUGGGUUGGUCAUAUGGGAACCAAUACAUAAAAUAAAUCUAAAUUCAAAACUAGAAUUUUAAUCAGGCCAGUAAAUAUAAUAAUAUAGUUGCAGUAAAUUAUAAUGUGCUUAAUCUGAAAAUAUACAUUUAGUUUGUUUAUUUAAGUCGGACUAGAAUACUAUGUGAUCGAACAGCUUAAAAGCUUCACUUCCAAUCAUGUCUUAGUUCUUCCAAUCCACUCUGAUUACACAAGUCGGCUCAUACUAAGAUAUUUAAUUUAUAUGAUUUGAUUUAUUAAUUCUGACUAGGUUAGCGUUAGUUGACCGCUUAGUAUUCCAUCAUACUGAUUAGAUAUAGAGGGCAAGGAGGAGAGGACGAGAAGAGGAUUGAAGGAGGUGGUGGCAGCAACGGAGGAGUACCGAUUUUUAACAUGGGAUCUAAAUUGCAUGGGAUCUUAACAUAUAGGUGUGUAAGUUUGUUAACGAUAUGAUAUUUUUAGAUAAUAAGAUCCAACUAAAUUGUUAUAUAUACAAUACAAAUCCUGUUGGUUCUUAUGGGUUUUUCAUUAUUUUGUCACCUUUUAGGAUAAGAUAUUAAUCGUACUAGACCUACACGUCGAAACUUCUAUCUUUAAAAUAAUGCUCUAAAUUUUGACAAAGGUGGAUGUCGUGUUUGUAAUCUUAAAAAAAGUUGGAUAUUAUGUGGAUAGAGUAUGACAUCUGUUGUGUUGACCCUUCGACUGGAAUGAUUUUUUUUUGUCUCCCAGAUGUAGUAAUCGAUCGCUAUCUGUUCAAUUGGCAAAAAGUGUCAUUAUAAUUGUUCUCGUAAUCAAAGAUUCAUUGCACUUUGUAUUUACCAAACAGCUGCUUAAAUAUUUAAAUUGUGUCCUACCAAGCUCGAGAUAACUAGCUGCAGUAUGCACCAUGUUUACAAGGGAGACGGAAGAAGCAGUAGUCACUUCUCUUUCUAAGAUUAGAUCGCUAAAACUGCAACAGCAAGCUACUUAUUUGUUUUUGUACGGGUUGAAUUGUUUAUCAAAAUUGUACUUUCUUCAGGUUGAAUCAGACCUCUUUGAGAACGAAUAAUUGCAAAGGAGAGCUGGCUUCAUUAGGGUAAAUAACUGCCAAUAAUAGGUUCGGCGCUUAAUUCCUCUUAUUUAUUUGGAUGCAUUAUUCAGUAUAUCAUUUUUUUUUUUUAUGGUUCUGCUUGCUUGAGGGCUAUCACACCUUAAAAAAAAAUAUAAGAACAACGCUUAACUCAUGGGGCACUCGAAAACUUAUUUUAUAUUCGUUUGUUUGGUUUUUCCGGCGAUUCUUCUUCUUAUUCUUCUGUUUUUUUUUUUAUCGUCCCGAAAAAACAAAUGAUCCAUCUUGGAACUGCUUCGCGAAAAUGAAAAUGAUAUUUUACUUGGACUGGAUCACCUCGGUUAACAUUUUGGUGUGGUGCGUACCUGGCAUCCACGAGUCGGUGUGGGAGGCGACAUCGCAGUCCGCUACAUCACCUGACGCCUGAGGUGUCAUUUUGUCCACUAAUUAGCAGUAAUCAUCGCCCUGAAAAUUUACAGGGGUGAUUCGGUACACCUGUAGCGGUACUUUUGUAGCUAUCAAAGAGCCUCGUUAGUUCUACUGUCAAAUUUCCAUGUCAUCCGUGUGUCCCUCGAUUGAGUGCUGAUGCAGUCGUAUGAAUGGAGCCGGUGGACAACGUCUUAUCCGUUUCUUUUAAGAACUACCCACGUGAGAUGUAAUUUAGACAAGGAAACCUGACCACUUGCGUUAUUUUUCUAGUGUUCUAUUUGUUAACCAUCUUAGAAAAUUUUGCUUGGCUGCGCAUUCCAAGAUCCGAUCAAAUGGCUGUCAAUGGCGGGACCCAUCCGUCCGACAAUAUGAUGCAUGUUAUGGACCCGGGCGACCUAAAGCCACUCCGAUGUGCUUUGAUUCGGCUCGAAGUUCCCGGUACGUGCUUCGAGCUACUCAAAAUCUUCCGGCUCACCCACUAUGGUGGGUGGCAAACGCAACGCUUAAAAAGUAUAAUUCUGAGGAUAUUAUACUUUUAAACAGACAAUGUUGGUUCUCACGUCGGUUCCAAAUUAAAGCUCUGCUGUGACGUCAGUAGCCUCGUGUCAGUGGUCCUGCUGCCAAGGCUUAGGUUCCGUGGGGUCGACAGAUCCUUGUUUUUGUUCGAGCUGAUGUGACUGCAUGGGGAUGAGCCCAUGAGAGGGGACCACGCUCUGUUGAUUGCAUGCGAUGCUACAACAAGUUUAAAUCACUGCUCAAGGGAUCAUGUAGGUGUGAUAGCCUCUUCUCGGUUGUACGUGUAGCUGGAACUAGCCGUAUGUACGAUCGCCUCAUCACCGGUGGGUCAAUCCGCAUUUGAUUGUGUGGUGAACGAAGCCAGCAGGACAGACUGAUGCAGGAUUCAAUAUCGGUAUCGCGGCGAUGGGGUGUUGGAGGAUGGUACAAAUCUGUUAGGCCCUGUAGCAAAGUUUCCGUCUAUAUAUUAUUAUGCGUGCGUAUAUUAGCUUAGGUUACGUAAAUAGACAAUUUUUAAUUUUUCUCCUUUCCCACUUUCUUUCUUUUCCAAGUUGCUAUUAGAUAUUUCUUGCUUUUGAUCGGGGGUUACUCGGUGGUGUCUAGGUUAAUAGCAGUAUUAUUUAGUGCCACGCCAAAAGAAAGAAGCGUUAUCAAAUGAUAGCAACAUUCUUGUGGAGGGUCUCGAGCAUAGUUAUAUAGAUUGGAUCGUAUCAUAUGAUGAGAUAUGAGAAAUUGAGAAUUGGAUCAUUACUAAAUGUAGCUCAUUUAUGAGAUUCGUCUCCUUAGAUCGAAUGAUCCGAUCGAUUUUUGGAUAGCUAGUUUGAACCAAGUUCGUCUGGAUUUGUAAUAUACUUAAAAUUACUUAACUAUCCUUCAAUUAAAAUUUAGACUAUUUAAUUUUAGGGGCAUUAGAAUAAAUUUAAAAUUAGGAUUAAGGGUUAAGAAAUUAUUCGGUUUGUUUUGACCACUCUUCUUUCCCUAUCUUCGUUUAGCGUUCUUUUUCAAAUCGUGCAACUCUCUCUAUCUUUUUCUUUCACAUAUUUCUCUCUAUUUCCUCUCGCUUAUCUUUCUUGUGUAAUCACUUCCAUUGGUCCCUGUUUUCAUUAUUAUUCCUCCUUGUUGUAUUUGGUUACAAUGCAUGAUACAUGUCAUGAUCCGAUCUGAUAGGAUAACAAACAUGUUAACUUCAUUAAACUUGAAUCAUUGGCUUAAAAUGCUUAACCUCAAGUUAACUUUUGAUGUAGGAUUAAAUUAAGAUAUCAUAAUUUUUCUAAUUUAAGGGUUUGACAUUCUCAUCAAAGCCCAAUAUAACCCAGAAUCAUAUCUUAGCUUUGUGGUUGCGAUACCUAGCCUAGUUUUAUUCCGUAAAGUAUGCUCUCACAUCAUCCAUAGAUAAUUUUUUCCUACUCGAGUCUCUUGUUAUUCUCCGGUACAAGGUCUACUCUAAUACCAAUUAUGAUGACUCGGUUCAAUGAGAUAACUAACUUAUUAAUUUUGUUAGACUUAAAUCAUUGACUUUAAAUGCUUAAGUUUAAAUUAACAUUAGUAUAUCUAUUAGAUCCUUAUUUUUGUCUUCUUUUGAUAUAGGACUAAACCCGAUGUUAUAGAAUGAUAGAUGAAGUAUUUCUUUUGUGUUAUUGGAUAAUUUCUUUUGGUUUGGAUUAUUUUUUAAAUGUUAACAUGUAUUAUUCUUUAAUCUAGAGAUACAUAUCUACAAUAUUGGAUGAUGUUACUCCUUUUACAUUAUUUUAUAUAAUUGAUGUUUUAUUUAAAUUAGCUUUUAGUAUUGUUUAUUUUUUUAAUUUUAAUAUUUUAUACUCAUUUUAAAAUAUUUUAAAAUAAUACAUGUAAUUUUGAGUUGCUUUGUGUAUUUUAAAAAUAAAUUUAAAUAAAUAUAUGGUCUAACCAGUGACUCAAGGCUCGACCAAGUUGUUUUCCAAUUUGGUUUUGAUAAAUAUGAUUUUAAGAAGUAAAUGAUAGUCUUAUAAAGCAGUGCUAAUAAAAUCAUUAAAACACUACGUGACACUAAUUUAUGCAAUGUCUCUUAUUUAUCAUCGACAUUGAUGUCAUCAUGGCUAAUCUUUCUCAUUCAACUGUUACUUCAUUUUUGGUUGAUACUUUAAAUAAUAUUAAUACUUCAAAAUUUUAUUAAAAUUAUAAGAACUUGGCAUAUAGUUAAUCAUGGUUAAAUGGAUAUUAACGGGAGACUUAUAGUGUAGGAUCUCAAUAUUUGAAGAUAUAUAUAUAUAUAUAUAUAUAUAUCGUAUAUCAAUUUUUUUUAAGGGGAAUAUGAUAUUUUCCUACUUUGAAAGAAUAAAUACGUAAAAGCCCAAAAAAGAUUGAGGCGUGUUAUUCAAAUGAAAAUAGGUUGCAUUGGAUAAGUAUUAACGUUGUAUCAAAUCUAGAUGGCUUAAAGAAAUUAUGAUAUGUGAUUUAAAUUGGAUAGCCAAGGAGGUCAUGAUAUCCAAUAAAUUUUAUUCAUAAUUUGAAUAAAUAUGAAGAGAAAACUAAUAUCCACAAACAUGUAGUUAAGUGUCGUGUGUCUCGACAUGUGGCAUCAUGAUCGGUCAGUAUGCAUUCCUGUCAGACGCCACCAUAAUUUUUUAAUCUCCAGACAUGAGAUAGAUAUUAAAACAUUAUGAUAGAACUAAUCGGUAAGAAUGACUUGGCAAAUGAGUAUGUGUCAUGUGUCUCGACAUGUGGCAUAAUGAUCAGUCAGAAUGAACAUUCAUGUUAGACGCCACCAUACCACAAAGAAGGUUUGAGCUCGCGAUCAAGUGGUUUUUGAUCCGAGCGUCACCUAAGCGGUUGAACCCAUAAGGGGUGUGGGAGAUGGAUUGGCUGUCACAUGUUUGAUUAACCAAAGAUCGGAGCCAUCCAAUCAAUAUGUUCAGACAAUAUGGGUGUCAGACACACCGGAUUCGGAUCGGUUGUCACAUAUUCGAAUAUGAACCACUUAGUUGGUCGACACAUGACAAAAUGACAUUGGUUAAGACCAGGCUCCACAAUCAUUGUAAUCUUUUAAAUCCCCAAGGCACGUGCAAGACUCGUGUGUAUGUUAGGUCGCAUGAAAUGUGACAUCUCUAUCAAUUGAAUCGAGAAAAUUAUGAUUUGGCUAAAUUCAACGGAUGCCCAAAAUGAUGCUCCCGUUGGUGAUCAAGGAAUGGAUGGCGCAUAUAGACCAUCACAUCGUAGCCCCCAUCCGAACUAUCGAAUAGUCGAUGCGUCGAGCAUGCUGACUAUAGUGAACGAUAGCACAUGUCAACCAUGACCAAAUAGUAAAAUGAGUUGACCCAGGUCAAAUAGCCAAAUGAUAGAAUUGACAUAAUACAACAUUACGUGGCUCAUGGUCCAAACAUGCAUUUCAACGACGACUUAUAAGGCUAAAUGCAUAUUUUGAUAACAUAGUCCAUCGGUCGAAUGUGUAUUUCAAUGAUGCAUAACUCAUAGAUUGAUUGCGUAUUUCAAUGACAUGUGGCCCACGAUCCGUGAUUCAACAGUAUAAUAUAUUGGGGUCGAGAAAAUCUUUCGACAACAUCCUUCUUACGAGAACGAAGAUACGUCACAUGCACUAUCGAGUGCGCUUUUGGCUCAAUAUAUUUAUGAAGGCUAAUGAUAGAUAAGAAUGAUGUCACAAGUAAGUGUCACGUGUCGAUACGUGGCAUCAUGAUUAGCCAAUACGAACAUCCAUAUCAGAUGUCACCAUACCACCACAAAGGUUUGGGCCUGCAAUCAGGUGGUACAACUGCCACAUGAGCGAUUGAUCUCAUAGGGGCGCGAGCGAUGGAUCGGUUGCCACAUGUUCGAUCAAACUAAAGAUCCGAGCCAGCCAAUCAAAACAUUCAGAUGAUAUAGGCAUCGAUGUGUCAAACAAGGCGUCACUCCAUCGCUUAGGUUACUAGUUGUUCCCCAUCUUCGGUCGAUCGGCUAGGGAAUAAUUGUCAAAGAGUUUGUCUAUGAAAAAUGCUAAUAUGAUCACUUCAAAUUUAAAAAGUACUGACUUGACUUAAUUAUCAUAGAGAUCGUGAUUGGGAUCGCUCAUCGUUGACUUAAAAGGAAGAUCAUCUGAGAAGAGACAUUAUUGUUGGUUCUGAAUGUUUAUUCCAAACAAUAAAGAAUCUGACUUAUCAGGAAUUAAAAUUUAGGUAAAAAACACAAGUUUCAAGUGUUGUGGCAUGUUAGGGGACAGUAGCUUUUGCGGCCCUGUUCAUCUAAAAGAGCUAAAGGAUCAAUCUGAGCGUCGGAGACAGCUUGGUUGUGGUUCCGGCUAAGAUGAGGGCCAUGCAGAAUCCCCCACCUCACGUGGUGGCACUGGCAACCUCGAGUAAUGGAGACGAGUCAUUUCUUGCAGAAGCAAAUUUACAAGUGCUGACACCGAAGCUUUGAAGUACUAAAUAUAAUUCAGCCAGGAGAUGAUGCAGAACUCUCUCCAGUAGCGGAACGGAUUCAUAAGGUCAAAGACACUUUUGGAUGCCUUCGUUCCAAGAGAAAGAACGACCGAUACUAGUGUAGAGAUGCAAAAAAAGAUGGCUCGUUAUGGUACGCGUAACAAGUACGCGUUCCCCUCCUCGCCUCCGUCGCACAAAGCCGCCUUGGAACGAUGAUGGUCACAAAGCAGCCGACGUGUAGCGAUAGUGUUGGAGCAGGCGGUUGGCCUCCCUGAUCCCACUUAGAUACGCUCCAUGCGUGGUAGAGUAGUGCGUCCUAUGCGUCGCCUCCCCAGCGAACAGUAUCUGCAGCGCGGGAGGGGGAGAAACCACGUCCCUGUCAUCCGGCUCCCCGCCCCGACCACGACGGGGCAGCGGCUCCGCCAUCAGAUCCAGAUCGUCCCCGCUCGAUCCGACAGCCACGUAGCUGUAGGAGCCCAAGAACAGCGGGUCCUUUCCCCACCCGCUCCGCUUCACCCUCGAGAUCCUCCCCGGGUAAGUCGGCGCCGCUCCUACGCCGUUGCAUCGUCGGUCCACCGAGCCGGCGGCCCUCGUGGCCACCCCCGGCAGAAAGGCGUGGAGAGUGAGGUGGAUACUACGGAUGACCUCCUCGUCGGGGAGCGCCUCCAGCUCCAGCGCCUCCUUCCCGGCGAACCACGCCUGCAGCACGCGCGAGCUGUCGUAGAUGGGGCAGAUGGAUGCCGUCUUUCUUAUCCAUCGCGGAAUCUCGGCCACGCGCCUCCUCCUGUCCUCCUCCUCCUCCUCCUCCUGGGCGAACGCCAUCUGCAGGAAUGGGAACGGCCCCCCACCUUCGGCGGCGUCCAUCUCCAUGAACAGCUUGUUCACCACUCCGAACCCCAGCCGUUCGAUGGCUUCCCGCUUAAACACGGGCAGGGCCGGCGAGAACGCUACCCCGCUGCCUUCUUCUCCUCGUUUUCCCAGCCCAGCCUUGAGCACCCCCAGCGACACCGUAACGAUCACGUGGUCUGCCACCAUCGCCGAGUGCUCUCCCUCGAAGUAUAGCCUUACCGGGUCGCCGUCCCUGCAUCCGUCGUCGCCGCCGCCGUCGUCGUCGCUGCCCGAGCGCCACUCGAUGCGCUGAAGGAGUCGACCGAAGCGGAUCAUGCCCCGGGGGAGGGCCGAGGCCAGGUACUGAACGAUCCGCGAGUAGCCUUGAGCGAUGGUGAUAUGGUCCCCGGGGUAGUCCCGGUACUCCCCCUCUGCGGCGAGGUUAAGCUCCUCGAGGUCGUCCGCGGAGGUACAGGUCCGCUCCGUGAACUCGUGCAUCGUGAACACGGCCUCCUCCAGUUCCUCAAGAUUCCAGUCGGUGCUGCGACUGCCGCCAUCACCGCCGCCGCCAGUGCGCGAGGCGCGAUACUCUUGGAGACCGUGGCGGAGGAACUGGCCGACGCCGGGGCGCUUUGGAUCCACGGGAGCGUCGCCAGCCCGGGCCGAGUCCAUGAGUCGGCGGUAGAGGGAGGUAAUGGGGGCGACGACGAGGGAGGGGUCGAUGAGGGUGCCGCCCUCGGCGACGGUGAUGGGAUCCGAGGGAAAGCCGUCCAUCCGCUCCCAGGGGCAUGAGUCAUGGGCGAGGGCGCCGAUGUCGCUGGCGAGGGCAUGGAUGGGGCUACCUCGGAUGCCGUGGAUCCAGGUGGCGCCCAUUUCGAUGCGGUCUCCGGCGAACUCGGAUGUGAGGAUGCGGCCGCCGGUUCGGUGGCUUGCCUCCACGAUGCAGAGGUCGAAGUGGUCACCGGAGGAGGCGGUGUGGAGUCGGUGGGCAGCGGUGAUCCCCGCCAUGCCCGCCCCAACGAUCACGACGCGAGGCUUCUUCGCUACCAUCAUCUAGUGCUACUCUCUUCCUUCGUGCGGGGGGGCAGAAGCAGGGGAGUGGUUUUCUAUUUAUGUUUAUAUAUAUUUUUAUCUCUACUGUCUUAUUUUCGUUUCGGUUUCUUUGGGGGGAGGAUUGAUAGAGGGGCGAAAGAGGGCGGAGUCGUCAGCGUAGUGUAUUAUUAGGGGGACGGAGGAAACACGACAAGAUAGAUAGAACCUAAAGGGCCUGGAGAGAGAAGGAAAAAGAAAAAGGUGAGGGAGAGAGAGAGAGAGAGAGAAGAAAAAGGAGGGGUCAAGUAAUUUUUGAUGAAUCAAUCGAGUGAGGACGAGCCCUUCCUUUUCCAUGGUGACGUUUUACUGUAGAAUUUAACUGCUAAAUCUUUUAUGGUCUUAUGCCAAAUAAAACAUAGUAGGAGCUUAAGUAAGAGAGUCGGCAAUUCCGUGAGAGGGCAGUCAUAUGGAUGCAGUUUCGCCUAAAAAACACCAUGACUUUUUUCUGCUUUCGGAACCCAUUGGUCGCAUGUACCAACCGACGAGACAAGGGCGAUUAGGGCGAAUUACCUUUGUAGCUUCCUAGCAUUCGCCUUUGACUUGCCACCCUCUCUAUCUAUACGUGGAAUGACCCGGGAGACUAGGCCUUCUCGAGCCACUCAACUCCAACACAAGCAUCCGAUUCCCUUUUGUUUUUGGGGGCAGAUCAAGUCCCGAGAGAUUGCACCACCCCACCCUUGUGUUGCUCAACUUUAUUCUAUUCCGAGCUCACCCUCGAAUGUUUCCAAGGGGUGGGUGGGUGGGCGGUGAUGAAGAACCCAUGAACGAACGUACUUGUCGAUUAACGAAAAAGAUCUGGUAGAUUUAAGUGGCAGAUCAACCUACCAACAAUCUUUGGAUUAUUUCCUUAAAAAGUUUAUUAUCAAUCUUACUUCCAGCGUGGCAGAUCAACUUACUUUACUAGGGGCACCUGACGUCAUAUUCCAUCGUCAAUUGCUCAAUUACUACUAUGUAUCAGUCUCCUUCGCUGCUGCAGAACCGAUGAGCAUGAAUCCGGGAUCUGCCUCUCUAACCUCUGUGGAUGCCCA